GAUGAACGCUAGCGGCAGGCCUAACACAUGCAAGUCGAGGGGUAACUAGAGUGAUAGCAAUAUUACUUUGGCUAGACCGGCGCACGGGUGCGUAACACGUAUGCAACCUACCUUAUACUGGGGAUAACUUCGAGAAAUCGGCGCUAAUACCCCAUAACACUGCGGAGAGGCAUCUCUUUGCAGUUAAAGCCCCGGCGGUAUAAGAUGGGCAUGCGUCCAAUUAGAUAGUUGGUGAGGUAACGGCUAACCAAGGCUACGAUUGGUAGCGGUUCUGAGAGGAUGAUCCCCAACACUGGUACUGAGACACGGACCAGACUCCUACGGGAGGCAGCAGUGAGGAAUAUUGCGCAAUGGACGAAAGUCUGACGCAGCCAUGCCGCGUGCAGGAUGACGGCCCUAUGGGUUGUAAACUGCUUUUGUACGGGAAUAAACCCUUCUACGUGUAGGAGGCUGAAGGUACCGUAAGAAUAAGCACCGGCUAACUCCGUGCCAGCCGCCGCAGUAA
RNAcentral lists this ribosomal RNA (505 nucleotides) under uncultured bacterium. Its description in RNAcentral is "partial 16S ribosomal RNA". It matches the Rfam family "Bacterial small subunit ribosomal RNA", at positions 28 to 523 of the family's 1533-position model. The record is from RNAcentral.